This 379-nucleotide ribosomal RNA is filed under the name uncultured cyanobacterium. RNAcentral describes it as "bacterial SSU rRNA". It matches the Rfam family "Bacterial small subunit ribosomal RNA", at positions 376 to 770 of the family's 1533-position model. Lineage: Bacteria; Bacillati; Cyanobacteriota. The record is from RNAcentral.
CGAAAGCCUGACGGAGCAACGCCGCGUGAGGGAGGAAGGUCUAUUGACUGUAAACCGCUUUUGAUAGGGAAGAAGAUCUGACGGUACCUAUCGAAUCAGCAUCGGCUAACUCCGUGCCAGCAGCCGCGGUAAGACGGGGGAUGCAAGCGUUAUCCGGAAUAAUUGGGCGUAAAGCGUUCGUAGGUGGUGAUGUAAGUCUGCUGUUAAAGCGUGUAGCUUAACUACAUAUAGGCGGUGGAAACUACAUGACUAGAGUGCGUUCGGGGCAGAGGGAAUUCCUGGUGUAGCGGUGAAAUGCGUAGAUAUCAGGAAGAACACCGGUGGCGAAGGCGCUCUGCUAGGCCGUAACUGACACUGAGGGACGAAAGCUAGGGGAGCG